GAUGAAGAACGUAGCGAAAUGCGAUACUUGGUGUGAAUUGCAGAAUCCCGUGAACCAUCGAGUCUUUGAACGCAAGUUGCGCCUCAAGCCAUUAGGUUGAGGGCACGUCUGCCUGGGCGUCACAUAUCGUUGCCUGAUGCCAGUUUCCUCGUGAUGGGUGACUGUGCAGGGCGAAUGAUGGCUUCCCGUGAGCAUUGUUGCCUCAUGGUUAGUUGAAAAUUGAGUCCUUGGUAGGGAGCGCCGUGAUAGAUGGUGGUUGAGUGACGAACGAGACCCAAUCAUGUGAGACCCCUACCGAAUUUGGCCUUCAUGACCCACAUGCGUCUUUGGAACGCUCAUGACGAGACCUCAGGUCAGGCGGGGCUACCCGCUGAGUUUAAGCAUAUCAAUAAGCGGAGGA
Molecule: unclassified non-coding RNA, 400 nt
Filed under: soil metagenome
Description: partial contains 5.8S ribosomal RNA, internal transcribed spacer 2, and large subunit ribosomal RNA
Rfam family: 5.8S ribosomal RNA (bases 1-122)
Source: RNAcentral